GGGGCUUGCAAAGAGAUCCGAGAUUGUUCUAGAGGUGGAGCAGCCUAUGGUAUAGGAUUAUUCUACUAUAUUACUUGGAUAGCAGUAGUCAAAUCUCUGACUUAUUGGAUCCAUAAGUUGAAUUGCUCUAUGUUGAUCACUACUCCCUACUGAGGAAGUGGAGGCAGAGCCUCUGAGGGCAGUGUCAGAGCCUAUUGAUUGGCAAGAUUCUCCACCGACUGGGAAUUGGUGGCAU
RNAcentral lists this long non-coding RNA (235 nucleotides) under Elaeis guineensis (African oil palm). RNAcentral describes it as "long non-coding RNA (EGUI_LNC050742)". Lineage: Eukaryota; Viridiplantae; Streptophyta; Magnoliopsida; Arecales; Arecaceae. The record is from RNAcentral.